AACGAACGCUAGCGGCGUGCUUCAAACAUGCAAGUCGUACGCGAAAGGGACUUCGGUCCUGAGUAGAGUGGCGCACGGGUGAGUAACACGUAGUUAACUUUCCCUCUCGCUGGGGAUAACUCCGGGAAACCGGAGCUAAUACCGAAUGAUCUGACGGGGUCUGCGGACCCUUUCGGUAAAGCCGUAAGGCGCGAGAGGAUAGGGCUGCGUUCCAUUAGCUAGUUGGCGGGGUAAUGGCCCACCAAGGCUACGAUGGAUAGCUGGUCUGAGAGGAUGAUCAGCCACACUGGAACUGACACACGGUCCAGACUCCCACGGGAGGCAGCAGUUGGGAAUAUUGGACAAUGGGGGAAACCCUGAUCCAGCGACGCCGCGUGAGUGAUGAAGGCCUUCGGGUCGUAAAGCUCUUUUAGUGGGGAAGAAGGGAAACUUGACUGUACCCACAGAAAAAGCACCGGCUAACUCUGUGCCAGCAGCCGCGGUAAUACAGAGGGUGCAAGCGUUGUUCGGAAUUAUUGGGCGUAAAGCGCGUGUAGGCGGCCAUUUAAGUCUGGUGUGAAAUCCCUCGGCUCAACCGAGGAAGUGCAUUGGAUACUGAAUGGCUAGAGGAUGAGAGAGGAGAGUGGAAUUCCAGGUGUAGGGGUGAAAUCCGUAGAUAUCUGGAGGAACACCAGAGGCGAAGGCGGCUCUCUGGCUCAUUUCUGACGCUGAGACGCGAAAGCGUGGGGAGCAAACAGGAUUAGAUACCCUGGUAGUCCACGCCCUAAACGAUGGAUACUAGUCGUCGGAGUUCCUAAUCGCUCCGGUGACGAAGCUAACGCAUUAAGUAUCCCGCCUGGGAAGUACGGUCGCAAGAUUAAAACUCAAAGGAAUUGACGGGGGCCCGCACAAGCGGUGGAGCAUGUGGUUUAAUUCGAUGCUACGCGAAGAACCUUACCCAGACUUGACAUCCCGCGCAUAGCCGUGAAAGCGGUGAAUUCCCUUCGGGGACGCGGUGACAGGUGCUGCAUGGCUGUCGUCAGCUCGUGUUGUGAGAUGUUGGGUUAAGUCCCGCAACGAGCGCAACCCUCGUCGCUAGUUACCAUCAUUAAGUUGGGCACUCUAGCGAGACCGCUGAGCUAUAAGCCAGAGGAAGGUGGGGAUGACGUCAAGUCCUCAUGGCCCUUAUGUCUGGGGCUACACACGUGCUACAAUGGAAGGGACAAUGCGUUGCAAGCCGGCGACGGCAAGCUAAUCGCAAAAAACUUUUUUCAGUUCGGAUUGGAGUCUGCAACUCGACUCCAUGAAGCUGGAAUCGCUAGUAAUCGUGGAUCAGAACGCCACGGUGAAUACGUUCCCGGGCCUUGUACACACCGCCCGUCACACCAUGGAAGUUUGCUACACCGGAAAACGCCGAGCUAACCCGCAAGGGGGGCAAGCGUUUAUGGUUUGGCCGAUGACUGGGGUG
RNAcentral lists this ribosomal RNA (1447 nucleotides) under uncultured bacterium. RNAcentral describes it as "bacterial SSU rRNA". It matches the Rfam family "Bacterial small subunit ribosomal RNA". The record is from RNAcentral.